RNAcentral lists this long non-coding RNA (422 nucleotides) under Mus spicilegus (steppe mouse). RNAcentral's name for it is "lncRNA (ENSMSIG00000015024.1)". Lineage: Eukaryota; Metazoa; Chordata; Mammalia; Rodentia; Muridae. The record is from RNAcentral.
ACUGUGGGGAAGGGCAAACACAUUGAAUUUCAACCUCAUGUGUUUCCUUUAUAGGUAUGUGAAUAUUGCCUCUGAGAUCCUGUUAUAUUUCCCAGUAUGUCGCCAUUCAGGAGAAAUUCGGUGAACCAGCGGCAGAUUUCAAUUGCUGGGAGUAGGGUUUCAAGAACCUGCAUGGAGAAGGAUGAAGUUUCCUCUUCAGAGGUCCAUAUCACAGCAAUUCCAGAUCUCCAAAGUCUCUGAGCUCUAAAAUUGUAUGACUUGCUUACAAAUGAAGGUACCCCCACUACUAUCUUCGUUUGGACAAUGUUAUGCGGCUUACAAAUGAUCUCUACCCAGUGCUGCUCAGACACUGAGAAUCUGGAGACGUCUGAAUCUGUUGUCUAAUCUAGGCAUGAACUCAAGCUUUUCUUCUUACUACAGAG